CGGGGUGUAGCGCAGUCUGGUCAGCGCGCGUCGUUCGGGACGACGAGGCCGGGAGUUCAAAUCUCCCCACCCCGACAA
RNAcentral lists this transfer RNA (78 nucleotides) under Fidelibacterota bacterium. RNAcentral's name for it is "tRNA-Pro". It matches the Rfam family "tRNA". From Rfam's summary of the family: Transfer RNA (tRNA) molecules are approximately 80 nucleotides in length. Their secondary structure includes four short double-helical elements and three loops (D, anti-codon, and T loops). Further hydrogen bonds mediate the characteristic L-shaped molecular structure. tRNAs have two regions of fundamental functional importance: the anti-codon, which is responsible for specific mRNA codon recognition, and the 3' end, to which the tRNAs corresponding amino acid is attached (by aminoacyl-tRNA synthetases). tRNAs cope with the degeneracy of the genetic code in two manners: having more than one tRNA (with a specific anti-codon) for a particular amino acid; and 'wobble' base-pairing, i.e. permitting non-standard base-pairing at the 3rd anti-codon position. Lineage: Bacteria; Pseudomonadati; Fidelibacterota. The record is from RNAcentral.